GGUUGAAUAGUUUAAAGAAAACAUUAGAUUGCAAAUUUAAAGAUGUGAAUUAACUUCAAUCU
RNAcentral lists this transfer RNA (62 nucleotides) under Rhynchocinetes durbanensis. RNAcentral's name for it is "tRNA-Cys". It matches the Rfam family "tRNA". From Rfam's summary of the family: Transfer RNA (tRNA) molecules are approximately 80 nucleotides in length. Their secondary structure includes four short double-helical elements and three loops (D, anti-codon, and T loops). Further hydrogen bonds mediate the characteristic L-shaped molecular structure. tRNAs have two regions of fundamental functional importance: the anti-codon, which is responsible for specific mRNA codon recognition, and the 3' end, to which the tRNAs corresponding amino acid is attached (by aminoacyl-tRNA synthetases). tRNAs cope with the degeneracy of the genetic code in two manners: having more than one tRNA (with a specific anti-codon) for a particular amino acid; and 'wobble' base-pairing, i.e. permitting non-standard base-pairing at the 3rd anti-codon position. Lineage: Eukaryota; Metazoa; Arthropoda; Malacostraca; Decapoda; Rhynchocinetidae. The record is from RNAcentral.